UACGGAGGAUGCGAGCGUUAUUCGGAAUCAUUGGGUUUAAAGGGUCUGUAGGCGGGCUAUUAAGUCAGGGGUGAAAGGUUUCAGCUUAACUGAGAAAUUGCCUUUGAUACUGGUAGUCUUGAAUAUCUGUGAAGUUCUUGAAAUGUGUAGUGUAGCGGUGAAAUGCUUAGAUAUUACACAGAACACCGAUUGCGAAGGCAGGGGACUAACAGACAAUUGACGCUGAGAGACGAAAGCGUGGGGAGCGAACAGG
Molecule: ribosomal RNA, 253 nt
Filed under: uncultured Capnocytophaga sp.
Lineage: Bacteria; Pseudomonadati; Bacteroidota; Flavobacteriia; Flavobacteriales; Flavobacteriaceae
Description: partial 16S ribosomal RNA
Rfam family: Bacterial small subunit ribosomal RNA
Source: RNAcentral